RNAcentral lists this ribosomal RNA (465 nucleotides) under uncultured bacterium. RNAcentral's name for it is "partial 16S ribosomal RNA". It matches the Rfam family "Bacterial small subunit ribosomal RNA", at positions 28 to 506 of the family's 1533-position model. The record is from RNAcentral.
GAUGAACGCUGGCGGCGUGCUUAACACAUGCAAGUCGAACGAUGAAGCCCAGCUUGCUGGGUGGAUUAGUGGCGAACGGGUGAGUAACACGUGAGUAACCUGCCCUUAACUCUGGGAUAAGCCUGGGAAACUGGGUCUAAUACCGGAUAGGAGCGUCCACCGCAUGGUGGGUGUUGGAAAGAUUUAUCGGUUUUGGAUGGACUCGCGGCCUAUCAGCUUGUUGGUGAGGUAAUGGCUCACCAAGGCGACGACGGGUAGCCGGCCUGAGAGGGUGACCGGCCAAAGGGGGACGGAGACACGGCCCAACCCCCUAGGGGGGGCAAGAGGGGGGAAUUUUGCACAAGGGGCGAAAGCCUGAUGCAGCGACGCCGGGUGGGGGAUGACGGCCUUCGGGUUGUAAACCUUUUUCAGUAGGGAAGAAGGGAAAGGGACGGUACCUGCAGAAGAAGCCCCGGCUAACUAGGU